This 508-nucleotide ribosomal RNA is filed under the name uncultured Chloroflexota bacterium. Its description in RNAcentral is "bacterial SSU rRNA". It matches the Rfam family "Bacterial small subunit ribosomal RNA", at positions 373 to 896 of the family's 1533-position model. Lineage: Bacteria; Bacillati; Chloroflexota. The record is from RNAcentral.
GGACGAAAGUCUGACGCAGCAACGCCGCGUGCGGGAAGAAGGGCUUCGGCUCGUAAACCGCUUUUCUGUGGGAAGAGCAAGGACGGUACCGCAGGAAUAAGUCUCGGCUAACUACGUGCCAGCAGCCGCGGUAAAACGUAGGAGGCGAACGUUAUCCGGAUUUACUGGGCGUAAAGCGCGUGCAGGUGGUCUGUUAAGUCGUGCGUGAAAGCUCCCUGGCUCAACCGGGAGAGGUCGUGCGAUACUGACAGACUGGAGACAGAGAGAGGCAAGUAGAAUUCCGGGUGUAGUGGUGAAAUGCGUAGAUAUCCGGAGGAAUACCAGUGGCGAAGGCGGCUUGCUGGCUCUGUUCUGACACUCAGACGCGAAAGCAUGGGGAGCGAACGGGAUUAGAAACCCCGGUAGUCCAUGCCGUAAACGAUGUCAACUAGGCGUUGGAAACCUUGUGUUUGCAGUGCCGAAGCUAACGCGAUAAGUUGACCGCCUGGGGACUACGGCCGCAAGGCUA